UACAGAGGGGGCAAGCGUUGUUCGGAAUUACUGGGCGUAAAGGGCGCGUAGGCGGCCUGCUAAGUCGAACGUGAAAUCCCUGGGCUCAACCCAGGAACUGCGUCCGAUACUGGUUGGCUUGAAUCCGGGAGAGGGAUGUGGAAUUCCAGGUGUAGCGGUGAAAUGCGUAGAUAUCUGGAGGAACACCGGAGGCGAAGGCGGCAUCCUGGACCAACACUGACGCUGAGGAGCGAAAGCCAGGGGAGCAAACGGG
This 253-nucleotide ribosomal RNA is filed under the name uncultured bacterium. Its description in RNAcentral is "partial 16S ribosomal RNA". It matches the Rfam family "Bacterial small subunit ribosomal RNA", at positions 524 to 776 of the family's 1533-position model. The record is from RNAcentral.